UACGUAGGGGGCAAGCGUUGUCCGGAUUCAUUGGGCGUAAAGAGCGUGUAGGCGGCCAGGUAGGUCGGUUGUGAAAACUGGAGGCUCAACCUUCAGAGGUCGACCGAAACCAUCUGGCUAGAGUCCGGGAGAGGAGAGUGGAAGUUCCUGGUGUAGCGGUGAAAUGCGCAGAUAUCAGGAAGAACACCCGUGGCGAAAGCGGCUCUCUGGAACGGUACUGACGCUGAGACGCGAAAGCGUGGGGAGCGAACAGG
Molecule: ribosomal RNA, 254 nt
Filed under: uncultured bacterium
Lineage: Bacteria
Description: partial 16S ribosomal RNA
Rfam family: Bacterial small subunit ribosomal RNA
Source: RNAcentral